GACGAACGCUGGCGGCGUGCUUAACACAUGCAAGUCGAACGGAAAGGCCCUGCUUUUGUGGGGUGCUCGAGUGGCGAACGGGUGAGUAACACGUGAGUAACCUGCCCUUGACUUUGGGAUAACUUCAGGAAACUGGGGCUAAUACCGGAUAGGAGCUCCUGCUGCAUGGUGGGGGUUGGAAAGUUUCGGCGGUUGGGGAUGGACUCGCGGCUUAUCAGCUUGUUGGUGGGGUGGUGGCUUACCAAGGCUUUGACGGGUAGCCGGCCUGAGAGGGUGACCGGUCACAUUGGGACUGAGAUACGGCCCAGACUCCUACGGGAGGCAGCAGUGGGGAAUAUUGCACAAUGGGCGGAAGCCUGAUGCAGCAACGCCGCGUGCGGGAUGACGGCCUUCGGGUUGUAAACCGCUUUCGCCUGUGACGAAGCGUGAGUGACGGUAAUGGGUAAAGAAGCACCGGCUAACUACGUG
Molecule: ribosomal RNA, 468 nt
Filed under: uncultured bacterium
Lineage: Bacteria
Description: partial 16S ribosomal RNA
Rfam family: Bacterial small subunit ribosomal RNA
Source: RNAcentral